This is a long non-coding RNA of Hipposideros armiger (great roundleaf bat), 645 nucleotides long. RefSeq lists it as uncharacterized. The transcript has 3 exons. The record is from RefSeq and is a predicted model, not a curated record. Lineage: Eukaryota; Metazoa; Chordata; Mammalia; Chiroptera; Hipposideridae.
AACUCCUAGAAGAAAACACAGGCGACACGCUCCUUGACGUUAGUCAUGGCAAUGAUGUUUUGGAUUUGACACCAAAAGCAAAAUAAACAAGUGGGAACCACAUUGAACUAAAAAGAGAAUGCAGGAAACUGACUUGGAGACGGUCGCAGUACAGAGACAUGGUGAGAGCUAGAACUGACGCUGUGUGGGGAGGAUGGACAGAAGGCUGCGGACCUCAGGGAGACUAAAGAAGCGUCACUCGAGGACUUGCAAUAAAUGCUGCAACGUUGUUUAUCGAAGGAACAAACAUGAAAGAAGAUACAUUGCUGUGAAGAGCAGACAGACAGGCCUCCUGGCAGACAACUACUCGAGGGCGAUUUCCUAAAGCCCAGAUUCAGGGAAAAAAAAUAUGGAAGCGACUCAGCGCUUGAGAAAGUGCCAAAGCCAGCUUUGAUCUCAAUUAUGGGAAGUAAUUAUCGGCAACACCUGAGAAGAUUGUUAAGACUGACCUGUCACAGACGAUGUGGUUCCCAGCCCCGUGUCCCCUGGAAGGCGGAGGUAUGGGGCCCAGCUCCAGCUCUGGGAGACCACUAGUGGUGUGAGUGACCUCGGGUGGGUUCAUUUACCUCUCUGGCCUCAGUUUGGCUUCUCAGACAGUGCAUGGGG